Molecule: ribosomal RNA, 253 nt
Filed under: uncultured bacterium
Lineage: Bacteria
Description: partial 16S ribosomal RNA
Rfam family: Bacterial small subunit ribosomal RNA
Source: RNAcentral
GACGUAGGGCGCAAGCGUUGUCCGGAUUUAUUGGGCGUAAAGAGCUCGUAGGCGGCUUGUUGCGUCGACUGUGAAAACCCGCAGCUUAACUGCGGGCCUGCGGUUGAUACGGGCGGGCUAGAGUUCGGUAGGGGAGACUGGAAUUCCUGGUGUAGCGGUGAAAUGCGCAGAUAUCAGGAGGAACACCAGUGGCGAAAGCGGCCACCUGGACUGUACCUGACGCUCAAACGCGAAAGCUAGGGGAGCGAACGGG